AGUGAACGCUGGCGGUAGGCCUAACACAUGCAAGUCGAACGGCAGCACAGUAAGAGCUUGCUCUUACGGGUGGCGAGUGGCGGACGGGUGAGGAAUACAUCGGAAUCUACUUUUUCGUGGGGGAUAACGUAGGGAAACUUACGCUAAUACCGCAUACGACCUACGGGUGAAAGCAGGGGAUCUUCGGACCUUGCGCGAUUGAAUGAGCCGAUGUCGGAUUAGCUAGUUGGCGGGGUAAAGGCCCACCAAGGCGACGAUCCGUAGCUGGUCUGAGAGGAUGAUCCGGCACACUGGACAUGAGACACGGUCCAGACUCCUACUGGAGGCAGCAGUGGGGAAUAUUGGACAAUGGGCGCAAGCCUGAUCCAGCCAUACCGCGUGGGUGAAGAAGGCCUUCGGGUUGUAAAGCCCUUUUGUUGGGAAAGAAAAGCAGCAGGUUAAUACCCCGCUGUUCUGACGGUACCCAAAGAAUAAGCACCGGCUAACUUCGUG
Molecule: ribosomal RNA, 492 nt
Filed under: uncultured bacterium
Lineage: Bacteria
Description: partial 16S ribosomal RNA
Rfam family: Bacterial small subunit ribosomal RNA
Source: RNAcentral